UACGUAGGGGGCAAGCGUUGUCCGGAAUUAUUGGGCGUAAAGAGCGUGUAGGCGGCCAGAUAAGUCCGCUGUGAAAUCUCGAGGCUCAACUUCGAGCUGUCGGUGGAAACUGUCUGGCUAGAGUCCGGAAGAGGAGAAUGGAAUUCCUGGUGUAGCGGUGAAAUGCGCAGAUAUCAGGAGGAACACCGGUGGCGAAGGCGGCAUCCUGGACCGACACUGACACUGAGGAGCGAAAGCCAGGGGAGCAAACGGG
RNAcentral lists this ribosomal RNA (253 nucleotides) under uncultured bacterium. RNAcentral's name for it is "partial 16S ribosomal RNA". It matches the Rfam family "Bacterial small subunit ribosomal RNA", at positions 524 to 776 of the family's 1533-position model. The record is from RNAcentral.